RNAcentral lists this long non-coding RNA (1195 nucleotides) under Sorghum bicolor (sorghum). Its description in RNAcentral is "long non-coding RNA (SBIC_LNC014927)". Lineage: Eukaryota; Viridiplantae; Streptophyta; Magnoliopsida; Poales; Poaceae. The record is from RNAcentral.
GGCUGCAGCGCGCCUGGACCACAAGUCGCGGUGGCCAGGGCGGGGGCCUGCUGCUAGUCGAUCGGCAGUGGCAGAGGCUCCAGCACGGCCUGAAGGCCGGCGGCGGCCCUGCUAGACGGUCUCUCGAAUACGAUUCAUAAAUAGGAUUCUUAUGAAACCAUCUCUCGAAAUGAGGCAAUUUACAUAGGCAGGCUUGUUAAUGGACUGUCUCCAAAAAUCAAUAUCCAGUGGUGGCUCUUUUAAGAAGCCUUUUGAGAAACAGUUGGCACAGAAAUAAAAUUAUCAUUUUCCAAAUUAGAAUAGACAAUGACAACCUUUGUAUCAAAAUUGUAGAGGUCAACAAGAUCUACAAUUGUGUAAUUCAUUCCAGAAUAUUCAUCAUAAACUCACGGAUCUAUAUUGUAAUAGGACUAUCUUUUCUUAAUCUCUAAUGGUCCUUUUAAAAGGGAUGCAUAUGGAGAGCAUUCUCUCCAAAGCUACUUAAGAAAAUAUUAUCCUAUAAACAAUCAUCAACAAGCAUGUAGUUAGAUGGUAAAAAAGGCUCUGCCUGAGUGGAGGCCUCGGAUUUGAAUUCUACAACAUACGCAUGUGUAAAGUAGAUAGUGCAGCGGACGAACAUUGUUUAUAUAGUUGUCUUCAAGAUGCAUGAGUUCAAAAUUUCUAUAUAUGUACGUGCAGUGCAGAGUGUACAUAAACAGCGUGGUACUGAAGUUGCGCCUCCAAUCCCUCUGCUCCUCACAAUUUAAGCCUGGUGAUUUAAAUUUCGCGACAUGUGCACUCUUGUGAAGUUUCCAUACAUGCUAAUAAAUGUAGUACAAAAUAUUUAUGUGAUCACAAUGAAGAAGUAACAUAUCCGAUACAACAUCUAAAAAUAGCAAGAAUCCCAAAGCAGAUCCUUAGGCUUAUAAAUUAUUUACUUAUUGAUUUAUUGCCUAGGUCACGGUUGGCUCAACCAGCCAACUGAGCCCAGCCCAUCGACUCUCACAACUCUCGCAUCGCUCCACACCUCCUUGGACUGCAUGGACAACCCGCGGAUAGUGCCGCCCUUGACGCGCAUCACAUCUUGGUCUAGCACCGUCGCCAGCGAGCUCUGUGCCUAUAACGAAGAAGGCAUAGGGCACAACAGAACAUAUUCAAAUAUGAACAGAUCUCACUUCUUCCACUUCUACUAGAUCUGUCAUACAGGAAAAUUGAG